CCCUUAGAUGUUCGGGGCCGCACGCGCGCUACACUGAAGGAAUCAGCACGUCUUUCUCCUUGUCCGAAAGGACUGGGUAACCCGCUGAACCUCCUUCGUGCUAGGGAUUGGGGCUUGUAAUUCUUCCCCAUGAACGAGGAAUUCCCAGUAAGCGCGAGUCAUAAGCUCGCGUUGAUUACGUCCCUGCCCUUUGUACACACCGCCCGUCGCUACUACCGAUUGGAUGGCUUAGUGAGAUCCUCGGAUUGGUCCCGGAGCGGCCUCUGGUCGUGCCGGAGUGCCGAAAAGAAUGUCGAACUUGAUCAUCUAGAGGAAGUAAAAGUCGUAACA
RNAcentral lists this ribosomal RNA (330 nucleotides) under uncultured eukaryote. RNAcentral's name for it is "partial 18S ribosomal RNA". It matches the Rfam family "Eukaryotic small subunit ribosomal RNA", at positions 1470 to 1796 of the family's 1831-position model. The record is from RNAcentral.